Long non-coding RNA from Hyaena hyaena (striped hyena), 679 nucleotides. RefSeq lists it as uncharacterized. The record is from RefSeq and is a predicted model, not a curated record. The transcript is spliced from 4 exons. NCBI's taxonomy places the organism in Eukaryota, Metazoa, Chordata, Mammalia, Carnivora, Hyaenidae.
AUGAGCAAUGGGCUGGGGCCUCCCCCGGAGCCCAGUCCUGGCAAGCAGAGAGCAAAACCUCACCCUGGGUCUCUCCCCCCACCUCCCUCCCUGGGGCCAUAACGGUUGCUUUUGUUGGCAAGUAUUGUAUGUCCCUGCUCUCAUCCACUAAGGAACCCUUUGUUAGGAAGAGCGGACAUGGGAGCGUUAACUCAGAGUCUGGGCAAGGGUGGAGGAAAUGGCUGGGUGGCAGACCCCCCGCUGGAGGUGAACAGGGCCAAAGCAAAGAAUCCACAGGCAUCAGCUGGGGACCCUCCGAGAAAGGGAAGUUCUGGGUUCCCUGGCCCUCCCCUUGGGAGUCUUGCACUGUGGAAUACGGCUUGAGUGAUUCUCUUGCUGACAGUCCUCCAGCAUUUGCCCACCGCUCUUUCUGUCCAAGCGCUGGCAGGGGACAGGGGUAGGCAGACAACGUGCACUGCCCGGCCGGGAACCAACUGGAAGAUACAACAGGCACAAGAGAAAGCCUGAAAACCAGAACCGAGGACAUUUGUCCCACAGAAUUCUGCAUUUCCUGGUGUCCCUUUUGAAGAGCAAGGGGGCAGGUGGCAAGCAUCCCCUGAAAUGGAGAAGCUCAGAAGGGAAAAGGAAGAGCUUGUUUGGAAUGAGAGUUGGAGAAAGAGAGUGCAAGCAGGGGAGGGUC